AUUUUUCUGCGUUAGGGAUGGAAGCGGCAUCCUUUUGCGGGAAUAUAAAGAUCUUUUUUCCUCUGAAAGCUCUUUGCAAAAGAUACAGCGGACAGCCCGACCCGAA
Molecule: small RNA, 106 nt
Filed under: Flavobacterium sp. 2
Lineage: Bacteria; Pseudomonadati; Bacteroidota; Flavobacteriia; Flavobacteriales; Flavobacteriaceae
Description: Flavo-1 RNA
Rfam family: Flavo-1 RNA
Source: RNAcentral